This 215-nucleotide ribosomal RNA is filed under the name Paenibacillus taichungensis. RNAcentral describes it as "partial 16S ribosomal RNA". It matches the Rfam family "Bacterial small subunit ribosomal RNA", at positions 1 to 210 of the family's 1533-position model. Lineage: Bacteria; Bacillati; Bacillota; Bacilli; Caryophanales; Paenibacillaceae. The record is from RNAcentral.
AUUGGAGAGUUUGAUCCUGGCUCAGGACGAACGCUGGCGGCAUGCCUAAUACAUGCAAGUCGAGCGGACUUGAAGAGAAGCUUGCUUCUCUGAUGGUUAGCGGCGGACGGGUGAGUAACACGUAGGCAACCUGCCCUCAAGUUUGGGACAACUACCGGAAACGGUAGCUAAUACCGAAUAGUUGUUUUCUUCUCCUGAAGAGAACUGGAAAGACG